GAUCUCUCAAAUCUUAUUGGAUGCAUGAAUCUCUUCCUAUCUUCCCACUUUUGUCUCAGUGUAAAAUAUCUGCAAUCCUUGAUGCAUAUAUCUCCUGAUUAUCCUCUAAUAAUUCUUUCUUUCUUCUAUGUUUUAAAUGCAGUGCCGCAUAAACAAUAACCUGCACAAUGCCAAGAAUGAAAAUGUAGGGGCAAGAUUGAAACCAUGGCCAGAGAUUCGGUUGCUUUCAAACGACCGAAAACAAAACAAGUAGAGAUAAAAACUGAAGGUGCACACCUCUCUUGUACCGGGACCAGUAUUGACAGCACAAUGGAUGCAAACUUUUCCAUCUUGAAAUCCUACUUACUUCCAAAGUCAUACCAUCAUCUUCGACAUUCAACUCUAAUUCAGGUGGUGAUAUCAAAGAGGCAAGAUUAUCCAAUUCAUCAUACGAUUGUUGAGCAACACCAACCUGCGAACUCAAAAGAGCUGAAAUCCUAAGCUACUAAAAGCAUGGACUAGAAUAUUUUGUACUGUAGGUAGCGGAUCCUUGCCUGGCGCCAUAUACAACCUUGUUGUAACUCAGUAUCCACAGGGAUAUCUACAUUUAACUGUAUGCUAACUCUGCCUGUUACACAGACAAUAAAACUCCAGGAUCAAAGAAGCACCAAAACAGCUUACUCUACAUGAGAACUAAUGUUG
Molecule: long non-coding RNA, 681 nt
Filed under: Prunus dulcis (almond)
Lineage: Eukaryota; Viridiplantae; Streptophyta; Magnoliopsida; Rosales; Rosaceae
Description: sRNA ncRNA
Source: RNAcentral